GAUGAACGCUGGCGGCGUGCCUAAUACAUGCAAGUCGAGCGAACGGACGAGAAGCUUGCUUCUCUGAUGUUAGCGGCGGACGGGAGAGUAACACGUGGAUAACCUACCUAUAAGACUGGGUAAACUCGGGAAACCGGGGCUAAUUCCGGAUAAUUUUUUUAACCGCAUGGUUCAAAAGUGAAAGAAGGUUCUGCCGGUACCUUUUGAUGGGUCCGCGCUGCAUUAGCUAGUUGGUAAGGUAACGGCUUACCAAGGCAACGAUGCAUAGCCGACCUGAGAGGGUGAUCGGCCACACUGGAACUGAGACACGGUCCAGACUCCUACGGGAGGCAGCAGUAGGGAAUCUUCCGCAAUGGGCGAAAGCCUGACGGAGCAACGCCGCGUGAGUGAUGAAGGUCUUCGGAUCGUAAAACUCUGUUAUUAGGGAAGAACAUAUGUGUAAGUAACUGUGCACAUCUUGACGGUACCUAAUCAGAAAGCCACGGCUAACUACGUG
This 496-nucleotide ribosomal RNA is filed under the name uncultured bacterium. Its description in RNAcentral is "partial 16S ribosomal RNA". It matches the Rfam family "Bacterial small subunit ribosomal RNA", at positions 28 to 507 of the family's 1533-position model. The record is from RNAcentral.